UUGGCUGACAUCUUAAAUUCGGUGCCUUAAUAUUUUUGUGCCAAUAUCACACGGACAUGUUUUGGAGAGGAACCGAAAAGCCCGGGUUCACGCAUACGCAUGGAGGACAAGAUGAGGACGUAUACAGGCGGCUGAAAGCGAUCAAUCCACUUUGUCCGAUGUGGAGGAGAUUGCUUCUGAGGGGUCUCUCUCAGGUGGGGACCCCGAAGUUUCCCUCCCCAAGACAUUUUUCAUCCCUUCGUUUCCUGAUUCAUAGCAGAGGUCCUGGGUCUUUGUGGGCUUUUGCAAUACGGGACACUGGCUCCUUCUUGUCCAGGGCGUACAAAAAAGAUGCCAAAUUCACAGUGGACUUCCCAGUGAGCACCGUCACAGUCGCAGAUAUCAAACAGUACCUACGGUCCAAAGACGUCCACUUCCACGAUGGCUUCAGCUGCCUGCACGUGCCCAGCAUCUUUGUGGCCGCCGCCUCCAGGGCUGAACGCUUCUCUCUGUUUGUGGACAAGACCACCGGGCAGUUCAUGUGCAUGGACACGCAGGUGGAGGGGAGCUGGGAGGACCUCCAGGACUGCUUGGAGGUGAUGCAGGCUGAGGAGCGAGAUUUCCUCAACCCGGAAGUGCUCUUGGGCUACCCCGAGAGUGCCGAGGAGCUGGAGCAGAGCGAGAGGGACGCCAGGGAGGUGAGCAGCAUCUGGUCUGCUUCGGUGCCCUUCUCGGAUCUGACUGAGGAUGAGGUGACACUCAUCAGAACCAUGUUCCAGAUCACAAAGAUCUCCAACGCAACAAUGAAGAAGUUUGGCGUCAGGCUGUUCAAGCCCACCAAGAGUCUGGUUUUCCCCUGGCUGGGUGGUCCCAAUUCCUCCCUAAAAGGGCUGAAGCUCCUUUCGGCGCAAAGCGCGGCCGACGGCGCCAUCCGUUACAACGAGGCGACAGUCCCCAAGUGCACCUCCUACACCAACCUGUUUGGCCUCCCUUUGCUGAGCCGUAUGGACGCCAAUGUGGUCCUCACGGGACACGAGCUGGACACGCUGGCUGUGAGCCAGGCUACGGGAUUAGCCAGCGUUGCCCUCCCGCGGGGCGUGGGCUGCCUGCCGCCCGCCCUGCUCCCUUACCUGGAGCAGUUCAAGCGCGUCACGCUGUGGCUGGGCGGCGACGUGCGCUCCUGGGAGGCCUCAAAGAUCUUCUCACGCAAGCUGGGCCUGCGGCGCUGCUGGCUGGUACGGCCUGGUGAGUUCCGGCCCUGUCCCGGGGAGGCCCUGGCACAGGGAAAGAACCUAAGCCGCAUCGUGGCGAGCGCGAUCCCUGCCGCGCACAAGUCCAUCGUGUCCUUCAAGCAGCUCCGCGACGACGUGUAUGGGGAGAUGGUGAACACCGAGCAAGUGGCUGGUGUCAAAUGGGCACGUUUUCCUGAGCUCAACAGGAUCCUAAAGGGACACCGCAAGGGAGAGCUCACGGUUUUUACAGGUCCCACGGGAAGCGGGAAGACCACCUUCAUCAGCGAGCUGGCCCUGGACCUCUGCAUGCAGGGCGUCAACACACUUUGGGGCAGCUUCGAGAUCAACAACGUGCGUCUGGCCAAGAUCAUGCUGACGCAGUUCGCCGUGCAGCGGCUAGAGGAUAACCUGGAGCAGUACGACUUCUGGGCGGACAAGUUUGAGGAGCUGCCGCUCUAUUUCAUGACCUUCCAUGGCCAGCAGAACAUUAAGGCGGUUCUGGACACCAUGCAGCACGCUGUCUACCUCUACGACAUCAACCACGUGGUCAUCGACAACCUGCAGUUCAUGAUGGGACAGGAAAACCUCUCGGUUGACAAGUUUGCCGUCCAGGACCACAUCAUCAGUGCGUUCAGGAAAUUCGCCACCAACUCCAGCUGCCACGUGACGCUCAUCAUUCACCCGAGGAAGGAAGACGACGACCGGGAACUGCAGACGGCCUCCAUAUUUGGCUCGGCAAAGGCCAGCCAAGAGGCGGACAACGUGCUCAUCCUGCAGGAGAAGAAACUGGUGACGUGCCCAGGCCGCCGUUCGCUGCAAGUGACCAAGAACCGCUUUGACGGCGACGUGGGGGUCUUCCCGCUGGACUUUAUCAAAGCCUCGCUCACGUUCUCGACGCCCGUCAAGGGCAAACACAAGUUGAGAAAGGUCGCCAUCAAGCCCGAGGAAGACGAGGGCGACGAGGCUCCCUCCAAGAAGGACACCGUCAAACGAGGGAAGGCGGAAAAACAGCAAAGUAAAGCGCCAAAGUCAUCACGUGCUGCUACCGCGAGUGAAUGAAUAGGAACUGAUAAGAUCGCCGAGAUGUAAACUGCAUGCAUUUGGAGUCUUUAAACGGCAUCAGCUGGAAUGAGAAUGUAUGUGAGGCAAGUGGAUGGGAAGCAGCAACAGCUGAACUUGGAUUUUGGGGAGCGCGGCGGCUCCCCCGGACACUUUACCGUCGUCAAUG
This is an RNA transcript of Hippocampus comes (tiger tail seahorse), 2439 nucleotides long. It is a transcript of the gene named twinkle mtDNA helicase, with no coding region annotated. The transcript is spliced from 8 exons. Lineage: Eukaryota; Metazoa; Chordata; Actinopteri; Syngnathiformes; Syngnathidae. The record is from RefSeq and is a predicted model, not a curated record.